CCUUGGAGUGGGGAACAACAAUCCGAAAGGAUUGCUAAUGCCGCAUGUGGAGGCGGGGACUCUGGUCCCUGUCCCAAAAGAGGGCGCCCGCAAGGGGCUCUCGCUCUAAGAUGAGUCCGCGUCCCAUCAGCUAGUUGGCGGGGUAACGGCCCACCAAGGCGAUGACGGGUAGCUGGUCUGAGAGGAUGACCAGCCACACUGGGACUGAGACACGGCCCAG
RNAcentral lists this ribosomal RNA (220 nucleotides) under uncultured bacterium. RNAcentral describes it as "partial 16S ribosomal RNA". It matches the Rfam family "Bacterial small subunit ribosomal RNA", at positions 129 to 334 of the family's 1533-position model. The record is from RNAcentral.